Molecule: ribosomal RNA, 496 nt
Filed under: uncultured bacterium
Lineage: Bacteria
Description: partial 16S ribosomal RNA
Rfam family: Bacterial small subunit ribosomal RNA
Source: RNAcentral
AUGCACGCUGGCGGCGUGCCUCAUACAUGCCAGUCGCGCGAACAGACGAGGAGCUUGCUCCUCUGACGUUAGCGGCGGACGGGUGAGUAACACGUGGAUAACCUACCUAUAAGACUGGGAUAACUUCGGGAAACCGGAGCUAAUACCGGAUAAUAUAUUGAACCGCAUGGUUCAAUAGUGAAAGACGGUUUUGCUGUCACUUAUAGAUGGAUCCGCGCCGCAUUAGCUAGUUGGUAAGGUAACGGCUUACCAAGGCGACGAUGCGUAGCCGACCUGAGAGGGUGAUCGGCCACACUGGAACUGAGACACGGUCCAGACUCCUACGGGAGGCAGCAGUAGGGAAUCUUCCGCAAUGGGCGAAAGCCUGACGGAGCAACGCCGCGUGAGUGAUGAAGGUCUUCGGAUCGUAAAACUCUGUUAUUAGGGAAGAACAAAUGUGUAAGUAACUAUGCACGUCUUGACGGUACCUAAUCAGAAAGCCACGGCUAACUACGUA